GAGGGGUGAGGAAAGGGCGGGUAGGUUGGUUGAUUGAAGAAGAGAGUCUACGAAGAAGCGUCGUAGCCAUGGCCAUUUGUGUGUCCUUGCUACUGGCCUCGUUUCCGGAGCUGUGUUUUUGGGAGAGAGGUGUGGGGAAGGAAUGCAGCAGCGCCAAGUGAAGGAGAUAGAGUGAAGCUGUUGUAUGGGUGGCGGAAGAUAAUUUGAAAUCAGGAUAGAAUAAUUCCAA
Molecule: long non-coding RNA, 229 nt
Filed under: Linum usitatissimum (flax)
Lineage: Eukaryota; Viridiplantae; Streptophyta; Magnoliopsida; Malpighiales; Linaceae
Description: long non-coding RNA (LUSI_LNC000342)
Source: RNAcentral